Molecule: ribosomal RNA, 442 nt
Filed under: Fusarium oxysporum
Lineage: Eukaryota; Fungi; Ascomycota; Sordariomycetes; Hypocreales; Nectriaceae
Description: partial 28S ribosomal RNA
Rfam family: Eukaryotic large subunit ribosomal RNA (bases 1-113)
Source: RNAcentral
GCGGGGUCAAAUCCUUUGCAGACGACUUAGCUGUGCGAAACGGUCCUGUAAGCAGUAGAGUAGCCUUGUUGUUACGAUCUGCUGAGGGUAAGCCGUCCUUCGCCUCGAUUUCCCCAAUGGGUUCUCCGGAUUUCUGGAGACUUGUAGGGGUUGUGGGAUUUUUGAUGUGUCGUCUCCGGACGGACGGUGCAGGGUAGGCUGCUUGGACAUGGUCGGUUCGAGGAUCGAUUCGAGGGCCGGCCUGUCGAUGAUGUGUGAUGUAUGCGGUCUAGGGUAGGCUGGUUUGUCUUGGUUCAAUUUGAUGUCGGCUCCCGUGCAGGCCAGAGUGAGGGGGGUCCAGGGUAGGUACAGGGUAGGCAGCUUAGAUUUGGUCGAUCUGGAGGUCGAUUCUCCGGCUGGCGGAUCUGACACUGUCGAAACGAGAUGCGAGCGGUGUAGGGUA